AUCUAACUGACGAGUGCUAAAUAGGACGAAACAUUCAUCUUAAAU
RNAcentral lists this non-coding RNA (45 nucleotides) under Schistosoma margrebowiei. Lineage: Eukaryota; Metazoa; Platyhelminthes; Trematoda; Strigeidida; Schistosomatidae. The record is from RNAcentral.